This 564-nucleotide ribosomal RNA is filed under the name uncultured bacterium. Its description in RNAcentral is "bacterial SSU rRNA". It matches the Rfam family "Bacterial small subunit ribosomal RNA", at positions 104 to 703 of the family's 1533-position model. The record is from RNAcentral.
GGGUGAGUAACACGUUGAUAUCUACCUUUAGGUCAGGGAUACCAUAGAGAAAUUUAUGUUAAUACCGGAUAGUCUCUUCGGAGUAAAGAUUUAUCACCUAAAGAGGAGUCUGCGUACUAUCAGUUAGUUGGUGAGGUAAAAGCUCACCAAGACAAUGACAGUUAAUUGGUCUGAGAGGAUGACCAGUCACAAUGGAACUGAGACACGGUCCAUACUCCUACGGGAGGCAGCAGUGAGGAAUCUUCCACAAUGGACGCAAGUCUGAUGGAGCGACACCGCGUGAAGGAUGACGGCCUAACGGUUGUAAACUUCUUUUCUGAAGGAGCAAAAUGAGAGUACUUCAGGAAUAAGGGAUGGCUAAUCACGUGCCAGCAGCCGCGGUAAUACGUGAAUCUCGAGCAUUACCCGGAAUCACUGGGUGUAAAGCGUUUGUAGGUGGUUUGGUAAGUUGGAUAUGAAAGACCGGAGCUCAACUCCGUGUAUGUGUUCAAAACUGUCAAACUAGAAUUAGGGAGAGGUAAGCGGAAUUUUAAGUGUAGGGGUGCGAUCCGUAGAUACUUAAAA